CCAGGAACCAGGGGCAAAGACCAGAUUUUUCAUUUUUGCCAUCAUCCCUCAUGGGCGGAGGUUGACACCACCGCCCCUGCUUUCUCUGCCACCCCAGCGUUCCUGCUGAGAGCUGCCUGGGUGUUUUCAGAGUGUUGAAAUAGCAGAAUGCAGAGUCAGAGCAGGGGAGACAAACGAUCUGUUAUUGUACAGAGGAGGAAAAUGAGACUCAGAGAUGCUGAGGACCCAGCUCCUUGGUGGCAAAGCCGGUCUGAAAGCUCGGUCUCUAACCCUGAACUCUUUGAGAUUCUCUGGAGGGUUCUGUGUUUGUUUCUACGGCUGCUUCAACCACAAACAGCACACAUUUAUUUCCUUACGGAUCUGGAGGUCAGAAGUCUCAAGUGGUCUGCAGGGCUGUGUUCCUUCCGGAGGCGCUGGGGACAAUCUGUUUCUGUGCCUUUUCCAGCUUCCAGAGGCCACCCACAUCUUUUUGUUCACGACUCCCUUCCUCCAUCUUCAAAACCUGCAAAGCAGCAUCUUCAAACCUCUCUCUCUCUCCCUCUGCGUCCUUCUGUCAGACUCUGACCCUCUGCAUCCCUCUUAGAAGGGCCUUGUGAUGACAUCAGUCCCACCAGGAUAACCCAGGAUAAUCUCUCCAUCUCAAGAUCCUUACCUCGAUCACAUCUGCGAAGUCCCAUCUGCCUUAUAAGAUUAGCCCUGAGCUACCUGCUGCCAAUCCUCUUUUUGCUGAGGAAGACUGGCCCUGAGCUAACAUCCGUGUGCAUCCUCCUCUACUUUAUACGAGGGAUGUCUGCUACAGCAUGGCUUGCCAAGCGGUGCCAUGUCCACAUCCAGGAUCCAAGCCAGUGAACCCCGGGCCGCCGAAGCGGAACAUGCGCACCUAACUGCUGAGCCACCGGGCUGGCCCUUACUGGGGAUUUUUAAAACUUAAAUUCCGUGUUCUCAUUUUAAUUAGACAGUCAGUAACUCUGUGAGGUCAAGAAAACCUUUCUUCCACUGUCCUACUCUGAUGUGGUCAACACUGGAGACUUAGAAACCAGUCUCCUCUGCCUCCCACAGUUACCAGCAUGGAAAUAUGACCACAAUAAAUCGGCAAGAGGGAAUAAAAAGUGAUUCACCAAUCAUUACAUACAAUAUAAUCACACUUUUAUAAAAGGAUAAAAAAGUUUAUCCCCAUGUGUAUAGAAAAAUGUCCAGAAAAGCACGCAUUAAAGGGUCAAGAGGGUUGUUCUGAGUGGUGGGUGUAGACUUCCAUUUACCUUGCCACUAUUUUACUAAAAUGUAUUAAAUUCUCACCCUAAAUCUGAGACACUCUGCUAGACACCCACACUUUUCGGUUUUAUCUAGUAAUUUGCUCUAUGCGUCUUUCCUUACGAUUAGCUUGUAUUUUUUUAAUCAGAGCAGGAAAAGGGGGAGCUGUCUCUUCAUUGACAAAUGAAGUACUUAGCACAUAGUACUUAGAACCUGGUGGGUGCUAGGUAAUGGUGGCCAUUACUUUACCAUUCUGUGAAUCUUGGGUCUUCAUCUGCCGUAACUUCUUGAGCAACCAUUGUGACAACAGCAGCAAUGACAGCAAGUAUUUAUAUAGAGUGUUGAUUACGUGCCACGCUGUUCUGAUAUCCAUCGCAUGUGGGCCUCACGAGAGCUAUGAGGUGACUAUUAUUCCCAUUUUACACAUCAGAAAAUGGAGGCAGAAGUACAGUGGCUGCACCAUGGGCCGCCUCCCUCCACCCCCAGCCCAGCCUGGGACUCAGAGCAAUUUUCUUCACCUUCUCUACCCCAGCACCUGCUCUGAUGGGAACAACAGAAAUAGAUGCACAUACACGCACAUGCACACACACACACCCAGAAAUGGAUGGGGUGGGGCUGGCCUGGGUUGUUGUUGGUGACUCAGUCGGUCAGAGGAAAAGGCAGCGUAAUGCAGACAAAUACAAGAUAAUAAGUCUGGAGCCAAUGAACCGAAAGAUAGGGAGAGCACAUCUUAAUAAAGAGUCACGAGUCCCUCCAGCCUGGAAAGGGAUUUAGAGGUUACUGUGGAAAAAAAAAAUUUUUUUGAAGUCGUCAGCACCUUGUACUGCCAGAGUAAACUUGGGAAUCCGGGGGUCCCUGUGUCCACCCUGUGCUCUCCUCUCCCACGGAGGGAAGCCAGCAGUGGGUGGGUCUGGUCCUUCCGUCCUGUUGGGGCCUGGCCGGGAGCAGGGGGGGUCCUUUUUCUGCUGUGGGCGAAUGCUGAUACUGUGUGCAAAGCGGGCUGCUGAGUUUGAAUGAUGGGAUCGUGUACGUGGGCACAGUCACAAGGGCUGGGGUGCGGGAAAAGACGAGCUGCGGGCUCUCAGAGUAAGGGGGCUCAUGGUGGCUGGAGAACCUGGGAAGGAAGGUGAAACGGGAGUGACUUGCAGAUGGUUGGGGUGAAUGGAUGCGUCUCAAGGGCUAAGACUGGAAGGACUCAGACAAACAGGACAGCUGACAGCCAGAGGGAAGUCUACCAAGGCAGCAGUGUGUAUUUCCAUGCUUCGUUCCCAAGACGCACGAUGCUUUAAGUAGCCAUGUUGAGACAACCUGAGGUCUGGGGGAAAGUAGACUCUGACGCCAAACACACCAGCUUUGGGUCGUAUCCUUCCCGCUGAAUUCCUGAGUCAAUGGAAUUGAUGCCUUGCUGCUCAGAGCCUCAGUCCCCUCAUCUCUAAAAAGGGGACCAGAUUGGUGGCUGAGAGGAGAUGAUGUGUCUGCUCGAGCCAAGCCUUCCACUGGCCCCGCUGGACUUCAGACGCAUGCAGCCAUGCCUGCUGAACUGGUGGGGAGGGCGGGUGGAAGAUGACUCAGGGGCAGGAUGGUGUAGAAAAGCUUCCCAGGAGGCAGGGCAAAAAGGGUCAGCUGCAGCAAAUAAUCCAGGGACAGCGGCUCUGUGCUUGGGGGCAGUAGAGAACUGAGCACAGUGUGAUGCUCGUGGCUGAAACCACACCAGCGGGCAUUUCUGAGCCCAAAGAGCAGACCGAGAUAAUAUCAACAGCAAUAACAACAGUUAGUUCACUCUUCACACUUUAAAGGUGGAUAUUAUUAUCCUCAUUUUACAGAUGAGGAAACUGAGGCACAGAGAGGUUAAGUAAUUUACGUCAGGUCACCCACCCAGUAAGUGGCAGAGCUGGGAUUCAAACCGAGGUCCCCUGGCUAAAUUGCACAUGCUCUUAACCACUGCACAUAUAUGGCUCCACUGUUAGAAAUAAAACCUCGGUAUCAAAAUGAGACUGAGAAGCAAGAACAACUCUCUCCUAGACCACGAGCUAGCUUUGGCAUCUAAAGGCUUAGGAGGGCAACCAUCAGAGGGACUCUUUGGGGCCCAAAGGGGAGGCAGAGCCACCAGGGGAGGAGAACCCUACGGCAGGAAGGACUGGUGCCCAGCAGAGCAGCAGCGGCACGCAUGAAAACUAAAGGAGGGAGUGCAUCCUCGAGGAAUCUUCAGAGACCACGGGGCGUCAGAGCUGCCUGAGGAGAAAUUUGCAUGAGGCCAAGACUGCCCAGAUGCUCCACGACAGACCUAGGUCCUGAUGGUCUUCGUCAGCAUCCCCAUUUUACAGAUGAGGCAACUGAGGCCUGGAAAAAAUGGAGGUGACAGAACCCCCCUCAGAGGGCUUGGUGAGGACCCGCUGGGAUGAGGCAGGAGAACCUCCGUGCCCGCUGCUGCCUCAGUGAAGUACACACUUGCUACUGUUGUUCACGCUGACGAUCGCCUCCUGGGCAGUGGUGGUGCAGAGAAGAACCAGAGCAGCUGGCAACUCUUCCUCUUGGGGAAAGGAAGGAAGGAGAGGAGGGAGGGACAGAUGAAAACAUCCUGGUUUCCCCUGGACUGAGGGGUUUCCUCGUAUAUGUGACUUUCAGUGGUAAAACCAGGAACGUCCCAGGCAAAUGGGGCUGAUUAGUCACCCUAAAGAAAGGUCUAAUGGAGCACUAUUUAAUUCUUCAAAGAAAAAAUUAAUCAAAAAGAAAACAAAGAAAUAGAUUCAUGCUGCAGCAAGACUGACGGAGGUUAGAUCUCACACAGGACUUCCUGGCUGCUAAACAAAAGGCAAAGUUUGGGCAGGUCCUUUAGUGACACAGAAGGAAGCUCAGAGCCCAGGAGGGAGCCAGGAGCAAUUCUGAGCAUCCCUCUUGGGCUGCUGGUUGCUCCCUGUGACAGAUUCGGCUCGGUCUCUCCUCACCUGUAACCAUCAUUCGUGACAGAGCCAGCAGCACGUUUCCAAAUUCCAGCCAUCAGAGGCGUAUGGAGGAUGCUCAGCCCCAUUCUGACCGAGCAGUCGAGGGGAAGGCCUCUGCUUGGUGGCACCCAGCCUAAUCUCAGAGACAGUGUUCUGAUAGAGAGACUCAUGAUGGCCAUCUGGGCCGCAGACACAGGGCCUUAACUUCCAAUUCUGAGAGGCCUGGGGCAUGCGCCUCUUCCCUGCCAAAUCGUGCUAGGUCUUCCAUCCGGCAGAUUUACAGCAUAUUAACUGCAAAUGAAUGUCACGGCACAUCUCUGUGCUUCAGAGGAAACGAAGGCAGUUCUGAAGAGGAGGCUGCAGGACUCAGGCGGUCCUGGACCGUUUGCUAACCUGCUGAGACACACAGGGUGGGGCGGGGGCAAGGACGACCCUGCAGCCACUGUCUACAGAAGGUGCUGAAACGUGCAGGGAAUCUUGAAAAACAAAUCUGAGUGGCUCAGCCCAAACUAGGCACUGAUUCCUCUUGGAUCAAAUGGACUCACCCUGGUGCAAUCAGCUGUGGCCACAAGGGUGGAUCAUGCGGUACAAACAGUGCUGUCUGUUGGACAGGACCUGGGACAGGUGGACACUUCCAAAGGAGACAUGGGUUAACCAGCACGUCAACUUGAUCUCAGCCUCCGGUUGUUCUUUGCUAAGGAAGUGACAUGGCCUCGUGAUCAGUGUGGCUAAGAGGAUGAUCCUUGUCUGGUUUGAAGGGUCUUUGGGGGUCCCACAUUGCUUUAUUCUAUGUUGCAAUGGUCAUGUCUUGCUUUUAUCCUAACGCCCUAAGCACUCACUCUGUUGCCACAUGACAUCUCAUCCUCUCUCUCUCUCCUUCCUCACCCAAGUGGCCCGUUGCGGUACUUCUGUCCUCUUUUCUGAAUUAAUAUUCUUUUGGGGGACUCCGUGAGGUCUAGUUAUCUGUUUGGGUGAGAAGAAUUACUUAUUCUUCGUUCAAUUCUGAGCUGUAAACAGACUCCGCGUGCCAUGGGGAAAUGUAGCCGUGGUACUUUCUGACCAAUGCCGUUGCGUGUUCCCCCAGGUGCAGAAAGAGCAUGUGAUGGGCAUUGUACUCACUCCCUCUGCAGUGUUCUGUGGCCUUAGAAAUGGGGGACUUACGAUGCAGUUACUGCCCGCCUACUGUCUAGACAUGACAACGAGAAUGUCAUGAGUACACGAGGGUAACAGGUUUGUCACAAUGCACUUUCCACCAAAUGCCACCAGUUCUUCCCUGGGGCAUGUGGAGAAUUGCACUGCCUCACCCCAUUGAGGUUAGAUGUGGGCAGGUGACUUGUCAAAUGAAAGGUGAGCAGGAAUAAAACAUAUCACUUCUGAGUGGAAACUUUAAGAGCCAGCGUGGUUUUCCAUGGACUUUUUCCUCUAUCAUGGUGCCCGCAACACCCCAGAGUGGCUGCUCCAUCUAACUGGGUCCUGGAGAGAGGAGGAGAACCCCGAGGUGACCUGUAGUUGACUUUUGUUCAAGCUGUGGCAACGGGGGGCUGUUUGUUACCACGGUGUAACUUGGCUUAUCCUAACUGAUGUAUAGGAUAUGGGUAUACACAUAAAAGGAUUUCUUUCAGGAGUUUACUCAUCUACCCAUCCAUCUGUUCAAACAUAUAUUGUGUACUUACUGUGCAAAAAGUAUUUAAAUCAAGGAGAAAUAGAAGUGAUUGAAAAAAGUGGUGUCAAAUAGGACGUGUGAUGUCUUGUGUACAUGUGUAUGUGUCUAUAUAUACAUGUCUACAAAAUAACCAGAUUGAGUACUGACUAUGAGUGAGGCAUAGUGUGAUUUGCAUGAAUUAGCUUAUGCAGUUUGCUUUUCUUUAAAUUAGAACCAUAUUACAGUUUAGGGAAAAAACCUUGGGGCUCAGAGAGGUUCUGGAACUUACACAACAUUGCAUAGCUAAUAAGUAGGAGAUUUGGGUUUCAGAUCGAAGUGUGUCUGCCUCCAAACGACUUCACCACCACGCUAUCUUCUCCCUUUUCAAAUGCUAAGAUAGUUCUGUGUUUCUCCAGAGAACCACAAGAAAGCCCAGAAAAAAUAAAAACUCUGCCCUUUCAAGUCCUUGCAGCAGCCAAGCUCUUGGGUUUGCUUUGACAGGUUGUCUUCCUUUCAAAAUCAAAAUGAGGCAGCACAGAUGGAAAUAGAGGCCAGCUGUUUGGUGGAGCAAGAUACCUGCGCGCACGCCAGCAGGGGCCGGGCUGUUAUUCCAGGAGCCCCUGGCGUCGGCGGUUCUGCUCAUGCCUCAUCCCACUGUGCGUGCAUCCGCUCGGGCUGCGCCUUCCCCAAAUAAGGGAGAAUCUCUACAAAUUGCAUGUUUUUAUGCAGACUUAGGAAAAUGUGAGGGAUUACGGUAAGAACGGACUGAUACCAUCAUUAAUCAACAACCAGGGAGAGAAAAGGAAGGGAUGAAAAUGUAGGUUCUUGUAUUAGGAGAAGAUCUGUGGGAAGAGAUUAGAAAUAUCGAGAAGCUGGAAAGUGGUUUCUUUUUUUUUGCAAAUGCUUUUCCAUUCUUGAAGUUUUAAAAGUUGUGGGGGAGUUUCCUGGCCACAGAGAGAAAGCCAAUAAAGGCAGCCCCCAAGGCAUUCAUUCGUUCAUUCAUUUGAAAAUCACUUUCUCAGUGCUCACUGUGUGCAACUGGGAUGUGAAGAGAGAAACAAAAUUUUAUGUAACAGACACUUAAAUAAAACCUACUAUGUGCCAGGCACUGCUCUAAGCAUUUUACCCGUAUUAACUCAUUUAAGGCUCACAAAAACCCAGAGAGGUAGAUACUCUUAUUAUCUCCAUUUCGCAGAAGAGGAAACUGAGGCACAGAGAAGUUUAAUUACCUUGCCCGAAGUCAUGCAGCCUUUGAGAUUUGAAGUGCGGCAGGUCUGGCUCCAACACUGUGCUCUUUAUUGCACUGCCUCUCACGGGGUCUUGGUCCUCAAGCUCACAGGUUGGUAGGGAAGAGGAACUUAGACACAAAACAGUCAUUUUAAUAAUGUGAUACCUAUUUUGAUGGAGACAUCCAAGGAGAAAGAAUUCAGUUCUGCUUGGGGACAUCGGGGAGAGCAUCACUGAGAAAGAGAUCCUUAAAUGCCAUCACGCAUUUGUUAGCCACGUGGGCAAGUGCAGGAAGGGGCCCCCUAGGUGGAGGGACCAGCUUGAGCAAAGGCACAGAGGCGAGAGGCAGCCUAGGCUGAGCAGGAAAGCGCUGAGGCAUGCAACAUGCAAAGGAGGGCAGAAGAGACAAGCAAGGAGGGUAGAUUGGGCAAAACGAGAGAGGCUCUUAUAUUCCAACUAAGGCAUUUCUGGGGUUGGGCGUCUGCCUUCUGCAAUGCUGAUACACACAGAAAAAAGCAUCAGGUUGCAUCAGGUCUCCCAGCUGUACUUUAAAAAGGUGCCUGGCAUCAGUGGGGAGGGCUGGCUGGGAAGGAGGGUAGCAGAUCUGUUCAGAGAGAAGCCUUUAGAAUCAGACAGCUCCGAGCUUGACUCUCAGCUCUCAGUUUCUACUCAUGUGACCUCAGGCAACCUACUGGACCUCCUGGAGCCUCGGCUGCCAAGUGGGUCGUUGCAAGGACCGUACAGAGUGGCUGCUGGGUCUGUUGCUGGCACGCUUUUUCUUGGAUCUGGAUGUAGGUAUACUAUUUAAGAGGAUAAUACUCUACAAGAUGAAGGGGGAAAUAUGACACUCUUGACCUGUCAUGAACAGGGUUGUUUCCCCUAUCCCAUAGUGGGAAAGAUUCAUUUGCUCUGAUCCCACACUGGGAUCCCCUCAAGACCAAAUGCAAGGUCAAGUUGCUCUGUUGUCAGCAGAGGUGGCAUGGGAAACCAACUCAACACUCUUGGCUUUAUAAUCAAGGGCUCUGAUCUCUCGCUUCUCAAACUUUAACGUGCACACAAAUCACCCCAGAUCUUGUUAAAAGGCAUCACAGGAAAAAAAAAUGUGUAACUAUUUAUGGUGAUGGAUGUUAACCAGACUUAUCGUGGAGAUCAUUUCCCAACAUAUAUAAAUAUCGAAUCAUUA
This 8245-nucleotide long non-coding RNA is filed under the name Equus caballus (horse). Its description in RNAcentral is "lncRNA (ENSECAG00000058384.1)". Lineage: Eukaryota; Metazoa; Chordata; Mammalia; Perissodactyla; Equidae. The record is from RNAcentral.